Dromiciops gliroides (monito del monte) is the source of this 976-nucleotide long non-coding RNA. RefSeq lists it as uncharacterized. The record is from RefSeq and is a predicted model, not a curated record. The transcript is spliced from 3 exons. NCBI's taxonomy places the organism in Eukaryota, Metazoa, Chordata, Mammalia, Microbiotheria, Microbiotheriidae.
UUUUUAUUUUUUCCCCAUAACAUUAUCCUACAGAGCACCCUGCAAUUACCUACCCCAAAGGUGGUAAAGAUUAAGGCAUUCCUCAUAGAUGGCAUUUGUAACAACAGACACUAAUGGAAGAAAAGUGCCGUAUGGUCCUCAGUCCUGUGCCUUACAAGGACUCCCGAGAGCCUGGGAGAAGCUAACUUGGGGCAAACAAUUACGUCCAAAAUUUUUCAUAUGUUUGGCACAGUAAGUUACAUACUGAUACCAAAACCACAUUCUGCUGAGAUAUUUAGAACUGUUAAUUCUGGGGACUGUAUUUCAAGAAAAUUGAUAAGCUGGAGAGUAUACCAAGUCGGGUAAGGGGCCUUGACCUGCCCUAUCAGUUGCAGGAUUGGUGGAAGUAUGAUGGCAAGGACAUUGGAGCUAACCAUGACUUGUCGGCUUACUGCUUGUGGGAUCCUGGGAAAGCCUUUUAUCUUCAGUGUUUUGUUUAUCUGUAAAAUGAGGUGGUUGGACUGAAUGACAUCUAAGUUGCAGCACAUCCCAGGACGUAAGGAAGGCCUUCGGUUAACCAUCAAAGAGCUACCAAAAAGUGAAAUGGGCUGCCUCAAGAGCCUCCUCACCAGAGGUUUUCGAGCAAACGUCGUUUGGGCUACACCAUAAGGGCCGGCAGUGUCCGCAGGAGCCGUCUAGUUUACAGAUGAAGAGGGUGACUCCGAGAGAAGGGGGGUGGUCCUCGCCGGCAUUAUCUGCCGUCGGCUCUCAGCUCUGCCCGGCUAACAAAGUCAGUUUGGACCAAGAUCCAAAGGGGGGAGGGGUCAUCCGAGCGCCCCAAGCGUCUGCACGCUGCCGAACGGGCAGCGGGAGGCGUCCUUCCUUGCCGCGGGUGCCCGCGAACAGACGCGGAGCCCACUCCGGGCGAGAAGGGCAGGAAAUGCAGAUAAGCCGACAAGGCCUCUGAACAAACUUGGGGCUGGUCUCCCCCGGCGGA